This 253-nucleotide ribosomal RNA is filed under the name uncultured bacterium. Its description in RNAcentral is "partial 16S ribosomal RNA". It matches the Rfam family "Bacterial small subunit ribosomal RNA", at positions 524 to 776 of the family's 1533-position model. The record is from RNAcentral.
UACGUAGGGGGCAAGCGUUGUCCGGAAUCAUUGGGCGUAAAGAGCGCGUAGGCGGCCCAGUAAGUCCGCUCUGAAAGUCGGGGGCUCAACCCUCGAAUGCCGGUGGAUACUGUCGGGCUAGAGUGCGGAAGAGGCGAGUGGAAUUCCUGGUGUAGCGGUGAAAUGCGCAGAUAUCAGGAGGAACACCUAUUGCGAAGGCAGCUCGCUGGGACGUAACUGACGCUGAGACGCGAAAGCGUGGGGAGCGAACAGG